This 406-nucleotide ribosomal RNA is filed under the name uncultured bacterium. Its description in RNAcentral is "partial 16S ribosomal RNA". It matches the Rfam family "Bacterial small subunit ribosomal RNA", at positions 28 to 526 of the family's 1533-position model. The record is from RNAcentral.
GAUGAACGCUGACAGAAUGCUUAACACAUCAGCAAUUGAUUGGUGGCGGACGGGUGAGUAACGCGUAAAGAACUUGCCUCACAGCUAGGGACAACAUUUGGAAACGAAUGCUAAUACUUAAUACUGUGAGAGAGCUGUGCGUCCCAUUAGCUAGUUGGAGAGGUAACGGCUCACCAAGGCGAUGAUGGUUAGCUGACCUGAGAGGGUGAUCGGACAAAAGGUGACUGAGACACGUACCGUACUCCUACGGGUGGCAGAAUUGGGGAAUAUUGGUCAAAGGAUCAAAGUCUGAUCCAGCAAUUCUGUGGGCAAGAUGAAGUUGUCGGAAUGUAGAGUGCUUUCAGUUGGGAAGCGGUACCAACAGAAGAAGUGACGGGUAAUUAGGUGCCAGAAGCGGCGGUAAGUC